Molecule: long non-coding RNA, 2719 nt
Organism: Megalopta genalis
Lineage: Eukaryota; Metazoa; Arthropoda; Insecta; Hymenoptera; Halictidae
Source: RefSeq, a predicted model, not a curated record
ACCAUGAGCGAAGCCGAUUCGAGCGGCGCGGCACUGCGGUGAGAUUCCUCCGCGGGGCUACGAUUGCGUCAGCGGAACGAAGCAAAAUGUUACUCGGUGUUCCAGUUUCCUCGCGGCGUGUCGCGAGCGAAAUUUCGUUCCGUGUCGGCUCGGUGUAUCGGAUGAUGGCGAUCAAAAUAAAAGAAGAACCGUGUCGCGUGGAAAUGCGUCGCGCGUGCGGAACAGCAGAGCCUCUGGCGGACGUUUGCGCAACCGUUUCGCCAACCAUGAAAAUUCCAACCGUCAGAGAAGAUCGAUAGACGAUCUAUUCGACUACGACGACCGGAGUAAUCGCUCGUACGCGUGUACUCUCCCCUUCUCUUUCUCUCUCGGAAAGUAAGAGUCCGCAGACGCCUCUUAUCAAGGUCGGCUGCUUUUUCUGUAUCAAAAAGGAACUCGCCGUUUGCGCAACACGUGGCCGCAGUUUUCUCCUGUUUGUUGACAGCGCUGACGUCGGCCCACGGGUUUCGCGAAUUCCCAGCGAACUUUGUUCUGUGCGAGCACCGGUCGUGGAAUCGGGAAAAAAUUUUCGGGAAAAAAAGUUUGGAAGAUUUUCGAAUUUAGCGAUUCGAGAAUUUUUUGUUGCCGCUGACAAAUACCUUGGUUUGACAUUUGAGAAACUUUAUUCGCCAGGGAUUUAUCGCGAACGUUGAUUCGAGUGUUAAGAUAAACCUAACCCAAACCUAACCUGAAACAACCUGAAACAACACACGGAAUUCGGAAUACUUGUCUGCCGAGUCGCCGAAAAUCUUUCUGAGAAACAUUGUUUCUAUGGAAAAGAUAGAUCUGUGCUUUCAGUCAUAUUGAAGCGUAAAGAAAAGUUUGAAAAUUGUAGAGACUCUGAUUUGUCAAAUUUCAAUAGCACCGGUUUUUGGAAACGCAGCACACAGUUUGCGGUCCCAUAGAUAUAAAUAGCUUUUACAGCAGACGUCGGUCAAGUGAUCGAUUCGAAGCUGAUCGGAUUUCAUGUCACAAAGUUUCGGGAUCACAACAAGUCUCUUACUCUAUGAUGCAAACUGAACUGAACUGGACCACUCACGCCGGGAAAGGCACUAAUUGAAUCAAUCUUAGACACGGCAGGUUACCCAGUUGCAAGGAAUCUUUUCUUGCUUUCCUGGUCGGAACGCUUCGGGGGCUAUCGAGAAUACUUUGCAGCAGCGUGUUAACUAUGUAACUAUGUAACUAUGUAACUAUGUAACUAUGUAACUAUGUAACUUUGUAACUAUGUAACUAUGUAACUUUAUAACUAUGCAACCAUGUGACUAUGCAACUAUGCAACUAUGUAAUUAUGUAACUACGCAACUAUGUAAUUGUGUAAAUACGCAACUAUGUAACCAUGUAACUAUGUCAAGAUUACAUGUUAAUUAUGUAACUAUGAAACUAUGUAAUUAUGUAACUAUGUAACUAUGUAAUAUUUCACUAUUUAGCCAUGUAACUAUAUGACUGUGUACCCAUGUAGCUAUGUAAUUCUGUAAUUAUGUAACUAUGCAAUUAUGUAACCAAGUAACUGUGUAACUAUACAGUGAUGUAGCUAUACAACUAAGUAACUAUACAACUUUGUAGCUAUAGAACCGUAUAGCUACACAACUAUAUAGCUAUGGAACCAUAUAUCUACAGAACCGUAUAACUAUACAACUAUGUAGCUAUGGAACCAUAUAGCUACAGAACCGUAUAACUAUAAACUAUGUAGCUAUGGAACCAUAUAGCUAUGCAAUUAAAUAGCCAUUCAACUAUGUAACUAGGUGACUUCAUUGUUAUGCAACCAUGUAUCUAUAGAACUACAUAGCUGUACAAUUACAUAGUUUUUCAACUAUGUAUCUAUAGAACUAAAUAGCUGCACAACUAUAUAGUUAUGCAACUACUAACUGUAUCUAUAGAACCAUAUAAUUAUACAACUAUGUAAGUAUGUCACUAGGUAAUUACAUAACCACAAUGUAAAUAUCUGAAUCUAAAACGAUCUAAUAUUUAUCAUAACUAAGCUAUGAUUAACCGAACUGGAUUUCUCUCGAUCUAUCAUUUUACGCAAUUCCAUUAAUAAUUGAUCCGAAGUAAAAAGAAAUGAACUGUCGAUUUUUAUUUCGGAUAAUCGAAGUUCUACUCUAAAUCAAAGGUGAUAAUCUAACAAUAAGUAAACAUUCUAUUAACCGAACAAUUGUUCUCACGACCCAUUCGGAUAAUCCAGGUUCUAUUAUUGUUGCGUCGUUUCGAUGGUGAUUCCUUGAACUGCGAGACGUUUUCUUCGGUAAAAGGAAGACGAAAGCAAGCCGCGGCAAGCGUGUUCAUUGACGAGAUGACACGGCACUCUCGCGUACAUACAUAUAGUUGGCGGGAUUGCGCCAUCGGCGCGCGUUCGCACACAGUCGUCGAACUCUGUACAGCCGUAUCGAAUGAGAGUAAAGAAUGCACCUACUCACGACUGGUUUACGAUUCUACGGAUCCGUGUGCUCGUGCCACUGUGACGUGACCGAGGAUGAUUAAAAAAUACCUGUUCGACGAAAGCCCGGACGAAAUUAGUGCUGAUAUCAUGGAGACACUUCGGAUCGCCAAUGCCGAGAACGAUGAGCCAGUUUCGCGACAUAGGUGGACAUUAUUAUGAGCCAUGAAGAUACGAGCGUUUUCGAAACGAAAAUGAUUUUGGUCACUAUUUCUACUCGUCUUUACAAUAUAUUAUUAAUUAUUA